AUGGGGCUCAGGAGCCAGAAAGAGUUUGGAAGGUUCAGCAACACUCUUUUCAGCUUUCUCCACAUUCUGGUCCUUGAUUCCUUUUCUAUGGAUCUCGACUCGUCUACACUCUUCCUACAUUGUUGGAAUAAGUUGCUCAUUUACAAAAGGUACAAAAUUUGUUUUAUUCCCUAAUGUACGAAUGCCUGCAAUCCAUAGAUAAUGUAUGUUUUUUAAAUGAUUUAGACCUUGGCACGGCUGGGUGGCUCAGCAGUUAAGCGUCUGCCUUUGGCCCAGGGGGUGAUCCUGGAGUCCAGGGGUCGAGUCCCACAUCGGGCUCCCUGCAUGGAGCCUGCUUCUCCCUCUGCCUGUGUCUCUGCCUCUCUCUCUCUCUCUCUGUGUGUCUCUCAUGAAUAAAUAAAUAAAAUCUUAAAAAAAAAAAAAGAUU
Molecule: long non-coding RNA, 427 nt
Filed under: Vulpes vulpes (red fox)
Lineage: Eukaryota; Metazoa; Chordata; Mammalia; Carnivora; Canidae
Description: lncRNA (ENSVVUG00000005581.1)
Source: RNAcentral